GAUGAACGCUGGCGGCGUGCCUAAUACAUGCAAGUCGAACGCUUCACUUCGGUGAAGAGUGGCGAACGGGUGAGUAAUACAUAAGUAACCUGGCAUCUACAGGGGGAUAACUGAUGGAAACGUCAGCUAAGACCGCAUAGGUGUAGAGAUCGCAUGAACUCUAUAUGAAAAGUGCUACGGGACUGGUAGAUGAUGGACUUAUGGCGCAUUAGCUGGUUGGUAGGGUAACGGCCUACCAAGGCGACGAUGCGUAGCCGACCUGAGAGGGUGACCGGCCACACUGGGACUGAGACACGGCCCAGACUCCUACGGGAGGCAGCAGUAGGGAAUUUUCGGCAAUGGGGGAAACCCUGACCGAGCAACGCCGCGUGAAGGAAGAAGUAAUUCGUUAUGUAAACUUCUGUCAUAGAGGAAGAACGGUGGAUAUAGGGAAUGAUAUCCAAGUGACGGUACUCUAUAAGAAAGCCACGGCUAACUACGUGCCAGCAGCCGCGGUAAUACGUAGGUGGCGAGCGUUAUCCGGAAUUAUUGGGCGUAAAGAGGGAGCAGGCGGCACUAAGGGUCUGUGGUGAAAGAUCGAAGCUUAACUUCGGUAAGCCAUGGAAACCGUAGAGCUAGAGUGUGUGAGAGGAUCGUGGAAUUCCAUGUGUAGCGGUGAAAUGCGUAGAUAUAUGGAGGAACACCAGUGGCGAAGGCGACGAUCUGGCGCAUAACUGACGCUCAGUCCCGAAAGCGUGGGGAGCAAAUAGGAUUAGAUACCCUAGUAGUCCACGCCGUAAACGAUGAGUACUAAGUGUUGGGUGUCAAAGCUCAGUGCUGCAGUUAACGCAAUAAGUACUCCGCCUGAGUAGUACGUUCGCAAGAAUGAAACUCAAAGGAAUUGACGGGGGCCCGCACAAGCGGUGGAGCAUGUGGUUUAAUUCGAAGCAACGCGAAGAACCUUACCAGGUCUUGACAUCGAUCUAAAGGCUCCAGAGAUGGAGAGAUAGCUAUAGAGAAGACAGGUGGUGCAUGGUUGUCGUCAGCUCGUGUCGUGAGAUGUUGGGUUAAGUCCCGCAACGAGCGCAACCCCCGUUGCCAGUUGCCAGCAUUAAGUUGGGGACUCUGGCGAGACUGCCGGUGACAAGCCGGAGGAAGGCGGGGAUGACGUCAAAUCAUCAUGCCCCCUAUGACCUGGGCUACACACGUGCUACAAUGGACAGAGCAGAGGGAAGCGAAGCCGCGAGGUGGAGCGAAACCCAUAAAACUGUUCUCAGUUCGGACUGCAGUCUGCAACUCGACUGCACGAAGAUGGAAUCGCUAGUAAUCGCGAAUCAGCAUGUCGCGGUGAAUAAAAUCUCGGGCCUUGCAC
RNAcentral lists this ribosomal RNA (1351 nucleotides) under uncultured bacterium. Its description in RNAcentral is "16S ribosomal RNA". It matches the Rfam family "Bacterial small subunit ribosomal RNA", at positions 28 to 1386 of the family's 1533-position model. The record is from RNAcentral.